Brassica rapa (field mustard) is the source of this 7419-nucleotide RNA transcript. It is a transcript of the gene named late embryogenesis abundant protein M17, with no coding region annotated. Lineage: Eukaryota; Viridiplantae; Streptophyta; Magnoliopsida; Brassicales; Brassicaceae. The record is from RefSeq and is a predicted model, not a curated record.
UCCUUCUCGACUCCAGCAGGACUUCUGGUAUCUGAUCCACUUGCUAUGGGAAUGAUGGCAGUCUCUCACUUUCAAAAUCUCCUAUCACCUCCUAUCCUUCCAUUCGUUGUCUGCCCUUCUAUCUGGUUCCAAGAGCUUCUCUCCUAUCGCUGUCCUCCUCAACUUGUAUCCUCCAUGACCCUACAGCCAGAUGUACUGGAAAUCACCAGAGUCAUGAUGAAACUGAACCCGCAAAAAUCCCCAGGGCCAGAUGGACUUACUUCAGGUUUUUUCAAAGCAGGAUGGGAGAUUGUUGGACAAGAGGUCAUAACUUCGGUUCGAACCUUUUUCUCUUCAUGCUUUCUCCCCUCAGCUACAAACGCAACUAUUCUCAGUCUUGUCCCAAAGAGACCAGGAGCAACGGCAGUUAGUGAUUUCAGACCUAUUUCCUGUUGCAACACAAUAUACAAACUCAUCUCAAAGCUGCUUGUUCAUCGCCUAAAACCAAUGCUUCCUGAUCUAAUUCUUCCUAAUCAAACGGCAUUUGUUCAGGGGAGACUUCUAAUAGAGAACACAGUGCUUGCUUCUGAGAUAGUUCAUGGCUACCAUCGUGAUAAAGGUCCUAAACGUAUGGUAUUGAAAGUUGACAUAGCUAAGGCUUUUGAUACUAUCAACUGGGAUUUCAUUCUCAACUGUCUAGCAAGUAUUGGAGUACCUAACCUGUUUACUCGAUGGCUGAGGGCUUGUAUCUGCACUCCUUCAUUCUCCGUGGGCUACAACGGCACAGUGCAAGGGUACUUCAAGAGCAAGCGAGGGUUACGGCAGGGAGACCCCUUGUCUCCGUAUCUCUUCGUGAUCGCCAUGAACUGCCUGUCGAUCCUCCUUGAUAAGGCUGCAGAAGAAGGAAAGUUUCGUUAUCAUCACAAAUGUGUACAAGCUAAAUUAACCCAUUUAUGCUUUGCAGAUGAUCUCCUGAUAUUCACAGAGGGAACUCUAAACUCGGUUCAGGGAGUACUAGAGGUUCUGAGGUCUUUUGAGACUAAGUCUGGUUUAGCUCUAAGCAUAUCUAAGACCAGUUUCUUUACGUCUGGAGUACCUACUGAUGAAAUUGAGCAAAUAAAAAGGGAAACAGGUCUAUCUCAUGCUUCUCUGCCUAUCAGGUACCUCGGAAUCCCCCUGGUAACUAAAAAGCUAUCGGUCUCUAAUUGUGAACCCCUGCUCCUAAGUGUUAAGGCAAAGCUAGAUUCCUGGAGCGCUAGAACAUUGUCAUUUGCAGGAAGAUUAUUGCUAAUCAAUACAGUUAUAUCGGGAAUAUCAAACUUUUGGUGUGCUACAUUUACUAUCCCCAAAAGCUGUAUUAAAACUAUAAAUUCUCUAUGCGGUGCCUAUCUAUGGAAAGGUACCACAGAAGGAACACAUUCAGCUCGAGUAGCUUGGGAGGAGAUUACACAUUCAAAGGAAGAAGGAGGUUUGGCAGUAAGGGAUUUAGUAACCUGGAACAAGGCUUGCGUGAUGAAACUCAUUUGGCUGCUCUUCUUUAGGUCUGGAUCAAUAUGGGUAGCUUGGUUCAAGCAGGAGAUCCUCUCAGGAUGCACUUCGAACUUCUGGAUACUGAAAGAAAGUCAAAAAUAUUCUUGGACAAUCAAUCGGAUGCUCAGGCUACGCGAUGAGAUUUUUCCAUGGAUAAAAACGAGGAUUAGAGAUGGUGCUACCUGUCGGUUUUGGAGUGAUAACUGGAGUCCCUUUGGCAACCUGUCUGUCUAUCUGAACCUCGCUCCUGCAGCGCGAAUGGGUAUUCCAAAGACGGCUACUAUCUCUGACCUCAAUCACCACGGAAUUUGGAGGCUCCCCCCUGCUCGUUCAGACAACCAGGUUACCCUCUAUGCCUUUCUAUCAACUAUAAAUCUUAGAGAAGGAGAUGACUAUGUGGAAUGGGUUAUGAAUGAUAAGAUAACGAAGACUUUCUCUACCGGUCGAGUGUAUACAGAACUAAAGCAUCAUAAUCCUCUGGUUCCUUGGUGCAAAUUGGUAUGGAUCUCAUGGGGUAUUCCUAAACAUUGUUUCUUAACAUGGCUGUUCAUCAAAGAUAGAUGUCCCACCAGAGAUCGUCUCAUAAACUGGGGACUACCAACUUCCCCGAAUUGUCUGCUAUGUAAUGCCCCGGCUGAAUCUAGAGACCAUAUCUUCUUUGAAUGCCCUUUUGCCUGGUCUGUCUGGUCAAGAAUGUCAGCCCGAUGCAACCUAGCUCCGUCUCGCACCUGGAAUCAAACUAUCUCUGAACUCCAGCAACUGAAUCGACCUCGCCCUAAUAAGCUACUCUGUCUCCUCACUUGGCAAUGUGUGAUCUACCUCAUCUGGACUGAGAGAAACAACCGCCUCCACCGCAAUACAUUCCGAUCACCGGACUCAAUCUCUUCUCUGGUCAUCUCUACCAUCAGAACAAAAAUUGCCUCCAUCAGAUUAUCCUCACCACCUCUCUCAUCAGCGCUCUUCAAUAUUUGGAUGUCUUCACCAUGAAGAACUCCCUCUUUCAGCAUUCCGGGCUCAGGUUCGCACUUCAUCUCUCUCAGCUGGUCUCGCCGAAUCUCUGCAUGACUCAUAACGAAGAUGUAUCGACAAUUCCCCUCUUUCUCGACUGGUUUCUUAAAAUGGGCCUCCUAAAAGGAUUUCUUUUUGUUGUCUUUAACUAAUGGGCUAGACCCAAGAAACAAAUGCCUGGCUGGGCUGUAGUCUUUAUGUACGUUUUCUCUUUUAAGUUAAUAGCAAGCCCUUUAUCAAAAAAAAACUUAUGUAGCAUAAGAAUAUUAAUAUAAAGGUCAACUCCAAUCAUCUCGGUUAGUAGGCAAGAAUGCCUUGAUUCUAGUCUUGAACAGCUAACGGCCGAUAUUUAAAGAUUUAGUCGCUCCAUUUAGGUUCAUCCGUCCAUCAAAUCAAAAGAACCUAAGAGCACCAUUAACCAAGGGUGUUUAAGAGGUGCUUAGAUUUUUUUAAUUAAAAAAAAGGAAAGAGAAGAAGAAAAAGAAAGAUGAGUGCUUAAUUAGACAUCACAAGCAACUAUUACUUGCACUACUCGCGAGUCCUACUGACACGUGACAGUCCACGAUUGGUUCGUUUUUUUAUAAUUAGAGAAAAAACCAAAAAAAAAAAAAAUUAAACACCCCAAAUGGUGCUCUAAGAGCAUCAUUAAUGAUUGAAAGUUGCUUAAAUUUUUUUUGUCAGAAUAAAAAAAAAUUAAAAAAUACACCAAUCGCAGACCACCACGUAUUGGUGGAGCCCGCAAACAGUGCAACCAACAAAGAAAACUGGGUGCUUAUUUGCAUGCAGAAGGGAUGUUGCUUUUGUUUUUGGUGGGUCCCCAGGCCAUAAGCAACCCUUUUUUAGAGGGAUAAAGAUGCUCUAAUGGGUUUAUUAAUAAAUAAUAACGAUGGACCCAAAAUAAAGUUAUGGGAAAAGAGUGAAAAAUAAAUAAAUUUCAGGAUAUCCAGUGAGUGCAGCACUCAUCAGUGGUGUUCGGAUAUCCGUUCAGGUUCGGAUCGGGUAUUUUGGAUUUCCGGGUAUUUCGGUAUAGGGAUAAAGAACAUGUUCAUGUAUUUCUGUACUUCAGGUCGGGUUCAAGUACUUUUUACUCGGGCUCAGUUAUUUUGAAUCGGGUUCAGAUAUUUAGAUUUUAAAAGAAAAAAAAUAAAUUUUUCUUUUUUUAAGUUUCUUGUAUUUAAAAAUAUAGAUUUCACUUAACUGAUUUUUUUUUAUUUUUUAUAGAUUGAAUGAUUAAUAGGUUUGGAGAUAAUAUAUAUUUCAAAAAUAAAUAUAUAUUAAUUUUGGUAUUGUUUUUAAACUUUGAAUGUAACUAUUGUCAAUACAUGAAACAAAAAGUUUAGCAUGCAUUUUAAAUGAAUAUCAAGUCAUUUUCUCCAUAAUUAUAUAUAUACUUAUGAACUUAAAGUAUGUGUAACAUCAAUAUAAAUAUUUUUUUAAAAAAUGAGAGAUGUAAGCUAGAAAUAUAAGGGUAAGUAUAUAUAUGUUUGGUUAUCUUCGGAUAUCCAUUCGGGUACGGAUAUUACUCGUUCGGGUUCGGAUAUCCAAUCUCUCCUAACUUAAUACCCGUUCGGGUAUUUUGCUACUUCGGUUCGGAUUUCGGUUUGGAUUUUUCGGGUCGUUUUCGGAUGCGGCUUCGGAUAUCGGGUAAAGUGCCCACCCCUAUUCAUCACUAUGUAUCUCUAGCAUAUGCAGGAUGAACCGAAACAUAAUAUUGAUGCUUUUGAGAGGAAAUUUAUGUCGGUGACGUUUGGUGUUUUUUUCCGCUAAGAAUGUUAAUUUUAUUGAACCCCACCCUAAGAAGUCCCCAUUAAACAUGCUCUAAGGUACAACUACAAAAGGCAACUAACCUAUACAAAAGAUACCCUGGCAAAAAAGAAGCAAAAAAACAGGGUAUCAAUCAGCUUGACAAAACAAAUAACUCCAGGAACAAGCUCAUGGAGAGACAGAAGAGCAGCUAAAAGGGUCAUAUUUUCAUAUGAGCCAAAGUGUCAUAAGGGAGCUGAACAAGCUCAUGGAGAGACGUUUGAUGUUUUGCUCAUGCAUUACAUUGUCGAAGUUCAAGUUUGCAAGCAAAUGUCAUUACGUAGGUUACUAUAGCUUUUAAACUCUUAAGAGAUUUGAGCAAGCCUUAGAGAUUGGUUUUACGUCUUUUACUUUUACCUCUUUAAACCAAGUAACUUCACUUUCCUAGAGCCACGUGUUACAGCCUGCCUCUCUAGCAGCGACCCAUUCAUUGUUCAUACGGUUAUGCAUGAAAUGCUUCCUCAGAUUCCCUCCAAAUAAUUUACAAGCGAUCAAAAGAUUUUGUUAAAUAUACUUUUUAGUGUACAUACCUCCAAUUUUUUUUGUUACCUAUACUUUUAGUGUAACUUUUCUAUUUUUAGAUUAUCUAUAUAUAUGUAGAAAAAUAGAAAUAACAAUGUUCUUCGAAAAUAAUACUUGUUGCCUUCGUUGACAAAAAAAAAAUACUUGUUGCCUUCCCUUAAUCUCCAAAUUUUCAUUAUUCUAGAUCCAAUUUCCAUUCUUCUAUUUGAUCACCAGAUAUCUUCCAAAUUUCCAUAUAAAAAGAAACUUUUUAUUCUUUACAAAGAACUCAAAUUUCUAUUUUUAUGGAGGUUGAUGAGCAAGCCCGUAGUUAUAUAUAAACUUGUGUAAUAAUAUUCUUUUCUCUUCGAUCACCUUCUCUUCAGUUUUCACCGUGCAACUUUUUAGCUCUCUUAAAAGAUGGUUCGUUUAUUUUUUUUAGCAAACCUAUCGAGCAAAAUAUAAAUGCAACUAUACAAAUCCAUUGAAGUGUUUUUUCUUAUGAGACAACUAAAGCUUUCGUUUUAUUUCAUUGUUUGUAGUCGUCGAAAAUUGUUUUUAAGUAUCGGGGUUUUAACGAAGAAACCAGGCGGAAAGCACUUCGAAGUCUGUCUCAUCGUACCGGUACACCAACAUCCCAAUAAACGGCCUUACACCAUUGAGACACUUAGAACAAACUGCUGGCUUAACUGAACCAACUUAAACCAUGUGUUUUAUAUAUAUAGAGAGAGAGAUAUAUAAAGAUGUUACUUUUAGUUAGGUUUUCAAUUUUGAACAAUGUGUAACAAUGUUUUCUUCUUUGUUUUAUAGGAUAUGAGUAUGCGGAUUUUAAUUUAGACCUAGACGUUCUAACCGUGACGGGACAAAACAUGAAUCGAAGUAAAAUCCUGAAGAAAUUGAAGAAGAUUUUUUACUCUAUCGACAUUCUUCAGACGUUGUGUGUCCCCCCUAAUUAGUAUGGUUUUUAAAGCAAGUUCUAUUGAUAUUUUGAUAAUUAGUGUUGCUUUUUGUAUGCUUCUCUUAUUAAUAAUGGUGUGUUUUUGUUAUAUUUUUCGUUUUGCGCAUUAGAACCUAUACAAACUAUUGGGUGGAAGGCCAAAUCAGUCCAGUUCUUAUUUUAGACUAAGGCCUUAAAAUUUUAUAACAGUGAAAGUUAUGGGUUUUAUGCUCAUGUUUGUCUCCCAGACCUAGAGUCAGUUUUUUUUUUUUUUUAACUAAAAGAUAAAAAAAUAUACUAAAAGUAAUUUGAAUUCGAGCCACAAAAAAAUUAACAUUUUAUAUAAUCACUAGACUAUCAACACUUGAUUUUUUUUUUCAACACUUGAUAAUUUUAGUGAUUUUUUGAAAAGAAAAAUAUUUAUUAAUUCAUUGCAAAUUAUACUGAUCUUUACCAAAAGAAAUUAAGGGUUUGAUUUAAGAUUUUGUGAUUGCUUUUGGAAUGAAUAGAUGGGCAUUAUCCUUUCGAAUGGUGGGCUUUGAAGUCUAAGAUGAGUUAGACUUUGUGACAAUUAUUUUGACGUGUAAACACCAUGGGUAUGUCCAGAGCAUGCAAUUUACACAUGGAACGACAUAGAUGAGUUUCAACAUUCAAUUACUGCCAUGGGUUUUUGACCGGAAGGGUAUUUGAUAUAUAUGCAGUUUUAUCAAGUACACCUAAUUUGAUUUGUCCGAUAGUUUUUACAGCUCUUUUGUAAUCGACUGGGACAUAUAUCUCCAAUAUUAUUUUUUAUUUUUUGGUGCACACAAUAUUUUUCUUUUCAAAAUCACAUUUCUAAUGUUUUUCCUUUCAAAAUCACAGCUCUAAUAAUAUCGGUGAUGACCUUAUAAGUUAUAAUACGAUGAUUACGCCUGCCGAUGCCCAAAUAUUAAUCGAAGGGAUUCAAUCAGAACGAGGGAAUCAAUCAGAACGAGUGUGCUCAUUGAUAUAUUUAUUUUCACAUUUUCUAUAAAGCGUAAAAAUCGUUCCCCCCCCCCCCCCCCCAAUUAAAUAUGUCGUUAUCUCCCCUCACUCACUCGACAUAAUUGACCGGUCUCUUGUCGCAAUGUUUUGCAGCCCAACUAUUAAUAGAUGUGCUGUGGUCAUACACUCUUAACUAUCAAAAACAUCUAUCCUCACAACAAACCGAACAAGCUCAAGUAACGAAAUCAAAGCAUGGGAAGCCUCAAAUCUCUGGUUAUCUUGGCUUUGCUUUUUUCCCUCUCUGUCGCUGUUUUUGCCGACACAUCCAACGAUGCUUCUACACCUAAAGAUGAAGUGAAGCCAAGUGAAGCGACCGAUGCCAUAGGGCAACAACAACCCCAGGCUGCGGAGGCCGAAGCCGAGGCCAACGAUGUUGUUGUUGAACCUCAGCAGCGGGUCCGUUGUGGCUGUAUAAACGGGUGUUGCGGAAUCUGCAAUUAUGGACGGUGCAGCUACUGUUGUCCCAGACAACAAUCCGAGGAGGCCGUGGAAACCGAAGCUAUUGAUGCCAACGUUGUUGAACCUCAGCAAGGGGGCCGUUGUGGCUGUAGAUACAGAUGUUGCGGAAUCUGCCGUUAUGGACGGUGCAGCUACUGUUGUCCCAGACAACAAUCCGAGGAGGCCGUGGAAACCGAAGC